This 18-nucleotide small nuclear RNA is filed under the name Arabidopsis thaliana (thale cress). Its description in RNAcentral is "snRNA_15459". Lineage: Eukaryota; Viridiplantae; Streptophyta; Magnoliopsida; Brassicales; Brassicaceae. The record is from RNAcentral.
CAAAAAACAUAAGGAGGC